GAUGAACGCUGGCGGCGUGCCUAAUACAUGCAAGUCGAGCGAACAGACGCGGCGCUUGCUCCUCUGACGUUAGCGGCGGACGGGUGAGUAACACGUGGAUAACCUACCUAUAAGACUGGGAUAACUUCGGGAAACCGGAGCUAAUACCGGAUAAUAUAUUGAACCGCAUGGUUCAAUAGUGAAAGACGGUUUUGCUGUCACUUAUAGAUGGAUCUGCGCCGCAUUAGCUAGUUGGUAAGGUAACGGCUUACCAAGGCAACGCUGCGUAGCCGACCUGAGAGGGUUAUCGGCCACACUGGAACUGAGACACGGUCCAGAGUCCUAAGGGAGGCAGCAGUAGGGAAUCUUACGCAAUGGGCGAAAGCGUGACGGAGCAACGCGGCGUGAGUGAUGAAGGUCUUCGGAUCGUAAAACUCUGUAAUUAGGGAAGAACAAAUGUGUAAGUAACUAUGCACGUCUUGACGGUACCUAAUCAGAAAGCCACGGCUAACUACGUG
This 497-nucleotide ribosomal RNA is filed under the name uncultured bacterium. RNAcentral's name for it is "partial 16S ribosomal RNA". It matches the Rfam family "Bacterial small subunit ribosomal RNA", at positions 28 to 507 of the family's 1533-position model. The record is from RNAcentral.